CGCUGGCGGCGCGCCUAACACAUGCAAGUCGAACGAGAAUCCGGGGCAACCCGGUAGUAAAGUGGCAAACGGGUGAGGAAUACAUGGAUGACCUUCCCUGGAGUGGUGGAUAACCUGCCGAAAGGCGGGCUAAUACAGCAUGGGACCACGACGCUUUGGCGAUGUGGUGAAAGCGGGCCUCUAUAUAUAAGCUCGCGCUCCGGGACGGGUCCGCGUCCCAUCAGCUAGUUGGUGAGGUAACGGCUCACCAAGGCUUCGACGGGUAGCUGGUCUGAGAGGAUGGCCAGCCACACUGGAACUGAGACACGGUCCAGACUCCUACGGGAGGCAGCAGUGGGGAAUCUUGCGCAAUGGGCGAAAGCCUGACGCAGCGACGCCGCGUGGGCGAAGAAGGCCUUCGGGUUGUAAAGCCCUGUGGGGGAGAACGAACCGUACGGGGGCGAAUACCCUCCGUGCCUGACGGUACUCCUUUAGCAAGCAUCGGCUAACUCUGUG
RNAcentral lists this ribosomal RNA (495 nucleotides) under uncultured bacterium. RNAcentral's name for it is "bacterial SSU rRNA". It matches the Rfam family "Bacterial small subunit ribosomal RNA", at positions 34 to 507 of the family's 1533-position model. The record is from RNAcentral.